GAUGAACGCUAGCUACAGGCUUAACACAUGCAAGUCGAGGGGUAACGAGAGGAAAGCUUGCUUUCCUUGUCGACGACCGGCGCACGGGUGAGUAACGCGUAUCCAACCUGCCCCCAACUAGGGAAUAACCUUGCGAAAGUAAGACUAAUACCCUAUAAUUUCCUCAGAUGACAUCUGACGAGGAAUAAAGAUUUAUCGGUUGUGGAUGGGGAUGCGUCGGAUUAGCUUGUGGGCGGGGUAACGGCCCACCAAGGCAACGAGCAGUAGGGGUUCUGCGAGGAAGCUGCCAGACAUUGGAACUGGAACACGGUCCCAACUCCUACGGGACGCCGCAGUGAGGAAGAUUGGUGGAUGGGCGGACGCCUGGACCAGCCACGUAGCGUGCAGGAUGACGGCCCUAUGGGUUGUAAACUGCUUUUAUACGUGAAUAAAGUUAGCCACGUGUGGUUAUUUGUAGGUACUGUAUGAAUAAGGACCGGCUAAUUCCGUGCCGGCCGCCGCAGUAA
This 506-nucleotide ribosomal RNA is filed under the name uncultured bacterium. RNAcentral's name for it is "partial 16S ribosomal RNA". It matches the Rfam family "Bacterial small subunit ribosomal RNA", at positions 28 to 523 of the family's 1533-position model. The record is from RNAcentral.